UAUCUCUGUAGAGUCUGCAUAUCAAUAAGCGGAGGAAAAGAAACUAACAAGGAUUCCCUUAGUAACGGCGAGUGAAGCGGGAAGAGCUCAAAUUUGAAAUCUUCAAGGUUUGACCUUGACGAAUUGUAGUUUAAAGAAGUGUUUUCGGUUAGAGGAGUAGUAAAAGUUCUUUGGAAUAGGACAUCAUAGAGGGUGAGAAUCCCGUAUUUGACUAUUCUUUCUAGCUUUGUGAUACACUUUCAAAGAGUCGGAUUGUUUGGGAAUGCAGUCCAAAAUGGGUGGUAAAUUUCAUCUAAAGCUAAAUAUUGGCGGAGAGACCGAUAGCGAACAAGUACCGUGAGGGAAAGAUGAAAAGAACUUUGAAAAGAGAGUUAAACAGUACGUGAAAUUGUCAAAAGGGAAGCGUUUGACACCAGUGUUGUUUUUCCGAAAAUCAAUUAAAAAUUGAUUCAUGCCAGGUUGUAUUGACCUUAUCAGCUUGCAAUUUGGUUUUGGGUCUCUUUUUGAUGCACUUUUCGGUUAACAAGUCAACAUCAAUUUCCUUUGCUGUAAAAAGGUAAGAGGAAGGUGGCUUCAAUUUCGGUUGAAGUGUUUAUAGCCUUUUAUCUCUGCAGUCGGGGAGAUUGAGGUCUGCAGCGUAGAUCCUUCGGGGCUAGAUACAUUUAUGCUAAGUUAUAGCUUUUCAUAGACAACUUGUUGACUAUGUUUAGUCAUGUAGCUUACUCGUAAGUGCUAUUUUACCUACGCUUAGGAUGUUGAAGACUCUACAGAGAUA
RNAcentral lists this ribosomal RNA (775 nucleotides) under uncultured Neocallimastigales. RNAcentral describes it as "partial large subunit ribosomal RNA". It matches the Rfam family "Eukaryotic large subunit ribosomal RNA", at positions 24 to 642 of the family's 3401-position model. The record is from RNAcentral. Lineage: Eukaryota; Fungi; Neocallimastigomycota; Neocallimastigomycetes; Neocallimastigales.